Molecule: ribosomal RNA, 301 nt
Filed under: uncultured bacterium
Lineage: Bacteria
Description: partial 16S ribosomal RNA
Rfam family: Bacterial small subunit ribosomal RNA
Source: RNAcentral
CAGUAGCCGCGGUAACACGAAGGGUGCAAGCGUUAAUCGGAAUUACUGGGCGUAAAGCGUGCGUAGGCGGUGAGUUAAGUCUGCUGUGAAAUCCCCGGGCUCAACCUGGGAAUGGCAGUGGAUACUGGCUCGCUAGAGUGUGUCAGAGGAUGGUGGAAUUCCCGGUGUAGCGGUGAAAUGCGUAGAGAUCGGGAGGAACAUCAGUGGCGAAGGCGGCCAUCUGGGACAACACUGACGCUGAGGCACGAAAGCGUGGGGAGCAAACAGGAUUAGAUACCCGGGUAGUCCCUGUCUCUUAUAA